AUUGAACGCUGGCGGCAUGCUUUACACAUGCAAGUCGAACGGUAACAGGCCGCAAGGUGCUGACGAGUGGCGAACGGGUGAGUAAUGCAUCGGAACGUGCCCAGUCGUGGGGGAUAACUACUCGUAAGAGUAGCUAAUACCGCAUACGAUCUAUGGAUGCAAGCGGGGGACCGUAAGGCCUCGCGCGAUUGGAGCGGCCGAUGUCAGAUUAGGUAGUUGGUGGGGUAAAGGCUCACCAAGCCAACGAUCUGCAGCUGGUCUGAGAGGACGACCAGCCACACUGGGACUGAGACACAGCCCAGACUCCUACGGUAGGCAGCAGUGGGGAAUUUUGGACAAUGGGCGCAAGCCUGAUCCAGCAAUGCCGCGUGCAGGAAGAAGGCCUUCGGGUUGUAAACUGCUUUUGUACGGAACGAAACGGCUCUGGUUAAUACCCGGGGCUAAUGACGGUACCGUAAGAAUAAGCACCGGCUAACUACGUG
This 482-nucleotide ribosomal RNA is filed under the name uncultured bacterium. RNAcentral's name for it is "partial 16S ribosomal RNA". It matches the Rfam family "Bacterial small subunit ribosomal RNA", at positions 30 to 507 of the family's 1533-position model. The record is from RNAcentral.